This is a non-coding RNA of Macrobrachium nipponense, 65 nucleotides long. Lineage: Eukaryota; Metazoa; Arthropoda; Malacostraca; Decapoda; Palaemonidae. The record is from the annotation of a RefSeq genome assembly.
CAGAAAGUAGUUUAUAUAAAAUAUUAGUUUUGGGGACUAGUGAUGGGAAAGUUUCUCCUUUCUGA